UGCGUAGGCGGUGCGGUCAGUCGGGUGUGAAAUCCCUCGGCUCAACCGAGGAACUGCGCCCGAUACUGCCGUGCUUGAGGGAGACAGAGGUAAGCGGAACUGAUGGUGGAGCGGUGAAAUGCGUUGAUAUCAUCAGGAACACCAGUGGCGAAAGCGGCUUACUGGGUCUCAUCUGACGCUGAGGCACGAAAGCUAGGGUAGCGAACG
RNAcentral lists this ribosomal RNA (207 nucleotides) under uncultured bacterium. RNAcentral describes it as "partial 16S ribosomal RNA". It matches the Rfam family "Bacterial small subunit ribosomal RNA", at positions 568 to 774 of the family's 1533-position model. The record is from RNAcentral.